CCUACGGGAGGCAGCAGUGAGGAAUAUUGGUCAAUGGGCGCGAGCCUGAACCAGCUAAGUAGCGUGAAGGAUGACGGCCCUACGGUUUGUAAACUUCUUUUAUAAAGGAAUAAAGUGAGGCACGUAUGCCUCUUUGUAUGUACUUUAUGAAUAAGAAUCGGCUAACUCCGUGCCAGCAGCAGCGAUAAUACGGAGGAUCCGAGCGUUAUCCGGAUUUAUUGGGUUUAAAGGGAGCGUAGAUGGGUUGUUAAGACAGUUGUGAAAGUAUGGGGCUCAACCGUAAAAUUGCAAUUGAUACUGGAAGUCUUGAGUACAGUUGAGGUAGGCGGAAUUCGUGGUGUAGCAGUGAAAUGCUUAGAUAUCACGAAGAACUCCGAUUGCGAAGGCAGCUUACUAAACUGCCACUGACAUUGAUGCUCGAAAGUGUGGGUAUCAAACAGGAUUAGAUACCCCUGUAGUC
This 460-nucleotide ribosomal RNA is filed under the name uncultured bacterium. RNAcentral describes it as "partial 16S ribosomal RNA". It matches the Rfam family "Bacterial small subunit ribosomal RNA", at positions 338 to 795 of the family's 1533-position model. The record is from RNAcentral.